ACUCGUCUGAGAGGCACUGCCUGCCCAGUGACGUACGUUCAACGUGCCGCGAGAUAUCCUGACCGUGCAAAGGUAGCAUAAUCACUUGUUCCUUAAUUGGGGACUAGCAUGAAUGGCAACACGAGGGUUAAACUGUCUCUUUCUUCCAAUCAGUGAAAUUGACCUCCCCGUGAAGAGGCGGGGAUAAAAUAAUAAGACGAGAAGACCCUAUGGAGCUUUAAUUAUUUAACCCAACACUUCCUUUAUUCUACUCUACAAUGAGCCUAACCAAGGAAAUCCCUGGGUUAAAAAUUUUGGUUGGGGUGACCUCGGAGUAUAAAUCAACCUCCGAAUGAUUUUAGCCUAGACCCAACAAGUCAAAGCAAUUAUAAUCAUAAAUUGACCCAAAUAAUUUGAUCAACGGAACAAGUUACCCUAGGGAUAACAGCGCAAUCCUAUUUUAGAGUCCCUAUCGACAAUAGGGUUUACGACCUCGAUGUUGGAUCAGGACAUCCCAAUGGUGUAGCCGCUAUUAAAGGUUCGUUUGUUCAACGAUUAAAGUCCUACGUGAUCUGGUUU
RNAcentral lists this ribosomal RNA (558 nucleotides) under Oryctolagus cuniculus (rabbit). RNAcentral's name for it is "partial large subunit ribosomal RNA". It matches the Rfam family "Bacterial large subunit ribosomal RNA", at positions 1839 to 2611 of the family's 2925-position model. The record is from RNAcentral. Lineage: Eukaryota; Metazoa; Chordata; Mammalia; Lagomorpha; Leporidae.